CCCCCAAUUGGGGAAUCUUCCGCAAUGGGCGAAAGCCUGACGGAGCAAUACCGCGUGAGGGAGGAAGGCUCUUGGGUUGUAAACCUCUUUUCUCAGGGAAGAACACAAUGACGGUACCUGAGGAAUCAGCAUCGGCUAACUCCGUGCCAGCAGCCGCGGUAAUACGGAGGAUGCAAGCGUUAUCCGGAAUGAUUGGGCGUAAAGCGUCCGCAGGUGGCGAUGUAAGUCUGCUGUUAAAGAGUGAGGCUCAACCUCAUAAGAGCAGUGGAAACUACAUAGCUAGAGUGCGUUCGGGGCAGAGGGAAUUCCUGGUGUAGCGGUGAAAUGCGUAGAUAUCAGGAAGAACACCGGUGGCGAAAGCGCUCUGCUAGGCCGCAACUGACACUGAGGGACGAAAGCUAGGGGAGCGAAUGGGAUUAGAUACCCCAGUAGUCCUAGCCGUAAACGAUGGAUACUAGGCGUGGCUUGUAUCGACCCGAGCCGUGCCGUAGCUAACGCGUUAAGUAUCCCGCCUGGGGAGUACGCACGCAAGUGUGAAACUCAAAGGAAUUGACGGGGGCCCGCACAAGCGGUGGAGUAUGUGGUUUAAUUCGAUCAACGCGAAGAACCUUCCCAAGACUUGACAUGUCGCGAACCUUUCUAUAAGGGAAGGGCCCUUCGGGUUUUUUUACACAGGUGGGGAUUUUUGUUAAAAGCUCUUGGUAUAUUUCCCAGAUAUCGUAUCUGUACGGC
RNAcentral lists this ribosomal RNA (732 nucleotides) under Sphaerospermopsis aphanizomenoides RPAN29. Its description in RNAcentral is "bacterial SSU rRNA". It matches the Rfam family "Bacterial small subunit ribosomal RNA", at positions 347 to 1080 of the family's 1533-position model. The record is from RNAcentral. Lineage: Bacteria; Bacillati; Cyanobacteriota; Cyanophyceae; Nostocales; Aphanizomenonaceae.